This 158-nucleotide small nuclear RNA is filed under the name Nannospalax galili (Upper Galilee mountains blind mole rat). RNAcentral describes it as "U2 spliceosomal RNA (ENSNGAG00000003741.1)". It matches the Rfam family "U2 spliceosomal RNA". Rfam says of the family: U2 is a small nuclear RNA (snRNA) component of the spliceosome (involved in pre-mRNA splicing). Complementary binding between U2 snRNA (in an area lying towards the 5' end but 3' to hairpin I) and the branchpoint sequence (BPS) of the intron results the bulging out of an unpaired adenosine, on the BPS, which initiates a nucleophilic attack at the intronic 5' splice site, thus starting the first of two transesterification reactions that mediate splicing. Lineage: Eukaryota; Metazoa; Chordata; Mammalia; Rodentia; Spalacidae. The record is from RNAcentral.
GUAAUUGCUAGGCCUUUUGCCUAAGAUCAUGCAUACUGCCUGUUCUUACCAGUUUAAUACCUGAUUGGUCCUCUUUCCAAGGACAAUAUAUUAAAUGGAUUUGGGGAGCAGGAAGAUGGAAUAUGAGCUUGUCCAUUCACACCACACCUGGAACAUAC